This 371-nucleotide transfer-messenger RNA is filed under the name Pontimonas sp. It matches the Rfam family "transfer-messenger RNA". Rfam says of the family: Bacterial tmRNA, also known as 10Sa RNA or SsrA, is named for its dual tRNA and mRNA-like properties. Its role is to liberate the mRNA from a stalled ribosome. To accomplish this part of the tmRNA is used as a reading frame that ends in a translation stop signal. The record is from RNAcentral. Lineage: Bacteria; Bacillati; Actinomycetota; Actinomycetes; Micrococcales; Microbacteriaceae.
GGGGAUGAUCGGUUUCGACAUUGCUUGUGAGUCCAUAGGGAAGCGGGCCGAGAAUGCAGAGUCAACUCGUAAAUGUCCUCUGCAAACUAUAGGUGCCAAUACAAAGCGCACCGACUUCGCUCUCGCUGCCUAAGCAGCGGACAAGUCCGUCAGUCUGAAUUAGCCUUCGGUUCAGUUCCUGGCGUCGUUGAGAAGGCUUGCUGAUGAUGCGUGUGUCAGGAAUCAUCGGGACUUUUUACUGAUACUGGGCCUGUCGCGCUAGGUGCUUAUGACAAAGUGCGGGGCCAAGUAGAACGCUUUCAUAAGCUACGCCCGUAGAAGACUGUGGUUCGUAGUAGUGGACCCGGGUUCGAUUCCCGGCAUCUCCACCA